This 499-nucleotide ribosomal RNA is filed under the name uncultured bacterium. RNAcentral describes it as "partial 16S ribosomal RNA". It matches the Rfam family "Bacterial small subunit ribosomal RNA", at positions 28 to 523 of the family's 1533-position model. The record is from RNAcentral.
GAUGAACGCUGGCGGCGUGCCUAACACAUGCAAGUCGAGCGAGAAGUUUGAAAGAUGAGUUUUCGGACAAGUGAUUCAAACGGAAAGCGGCGGACGGGUGAGUAACGCGUAGGCAACCUGCCCCGUGCAGAGGGACAGCCUCGGGAAACCGGGAUUAAGACCUCAUGAUAUCGGGUUAUCACAUGGUAAUCCGGUCAAAGAUUUAUCGGCAUGGGAUGGGCCUGCGUCUGAUUAGCUGGUUGGUGGGGUAACGGCCUACCAAGGCGACGAUCAGAAGCAGAACUGAGAGGUUCAUCGGCCACAUUGGAACUGGGACACGGUCCAAACUCCUACGGGAGGCAGCAGUGAGGAAUAUUGCACAAUGGGCGAAAGCCUGAUGCAGCAACGCCGCGUGAGCGAAGAAGGCCUUUGGGUCGUAAAGCUCUGUCCUUGGGGAAGAAACAAAUGACGGUACCCUUGGAGGAAGCCCCGGCUAACUACGUGCCAGCAGCAGCCGCCG